Long non-coding RNA from Pungitius pungitius (ninespine stickleback), 797 nucleotides. RefSeq lists it as uncharacterized. The record is from RefSeq and is a predicted model, not a curated record. The transcript is spliced from 3 exons. NCBI's taxonomy places the organism in Eukaryota, Metazoa, Chordata, Actinopteri, Perciformes, Gasterosteidae.
GUGUGUGUGUGUGUGGUAAAGUCCAAUGAGGUAAUGUCACACACCAUUAUUCUCAGAUGGCUGUCGUGGGUGUACACGUGUGUGUUGUGGUGGUCUCUAGGAGAUGGACUGGAGGUCGGCGCUGACGGAGCAUUGGAGCAGAGACUCUGUUUGGAUGGAUAACUCACAGGGAACCACGUCUUUCUCUGAACGCUCCACUGUCCCACUGCCCCGAAAAGAUCGGCCGGGGCAGGUGUUGUGUGGGAGGACAAAGAACAGAGGCUUGUCAUCACACUUUCCUCUGGUUGUAAAUGGCAGGCAGCGGCAUGCACAGGUGUUGCAUCGGCUGAUCGGGGGCAAAGAAAUACCACAGGCCAGGUGGAAAGACAAUGACAUGUUUCUGAUGCUCUUUCUGUACAUCAAACAUGGGACAGCUGUCUUUGAUCUUUCACACAUAUGAACUACCGGUGGCUUGAAUCCCAGAACUGGCAAAUGGAUGCUUUCUAAGACACACACACACACACACACACACACACACACACACAAACAACGAUGUGAUGCCCCAGAAACCCAAUGUAACCUACAUUUGAAAAAUAGCAGGGAAGAAAGUUUGGUCUGUAGAGUUUAGACAACUGAGCCCCUUCUUGCUAUUUGUUUUGGCCUUUUGUCACGUGAUAACGUCACGGUUUCUAAAUGUCUGUUAACUGUUCGUUAUUAUUAUCUGCAUCAACAGUAUUUUAAGGAAACAGCUAAUGGUGCAUUGAUUAUUAUCAAAGAGAGACUGAUUGACGCACAGUCCUUGCAACUUUCAAAAUGUU